RNAcentral lists this transfer RNA (87 nucleotides) under Clostridiaceae bacterium. RNAcentral's name for it is "tRNA-Ser". It matches the Rfam family "tRNA". From Rfam's summary of the family: Transfer RNA (tRNA) molecules are approximately 80 nucleotides in length. Their secondary structure includes four short double-helical elements and three loops (D, anti-codon, and T loops). Lineage: Bacteria; Bacillati; Bacillota; Clostridia; Eubacteriales; Clostridiaceae. The record is from RNAcentral.
GGAGAGAUGGUCGAGCUGGUUUAAGGCACCGGUCUUGAAAACCGGCGUACCUUUACGGGUACCGAGGGUUCGAAUCCCUCUCUCUCC